CAUGGCUCAGGAUGAACGCUAGCUACAGGCUUAACACAUGCAAGUCGAGGGGCAGCAUUAUCGAAGCUUGCUUUGAUAGAUGGCGACCGGCGCACGGGUGAGUAACGCGUACUCCAACCUUCCCCAUAGUAGGGCAUAGCCCGUAGAAAUGCGGAUUAAUACCCUAUGUAUUCCGAGGAUGACAUCUGAUUCGGAACAAAGGUUCACCGCUAUGGGAUGGGGAUGCGUCUGAUUAGGUAGUAGGGCGGGGUAACGGCCCACUUAGCCGACGAUCAGUAGGGGUUCUGAGAGGAAGGUCCCCCACAUUGGAACUGAGACACGGUCCAAACUCCUACGGGAGGCAGCAGUGAGGAAUAUUGGUCAAUGGGCGCGAGCCUGAACCAGCCAAGUAGCGUGCAGGAAUGACUGCCCUAUGGGUUGUAAACUGUCUUUUAUCAGGGAAUAAAGUGAGGCACGUGUGCCUUUUUGUAUGUACCUGAUGAAUAAGGACCGGCUAAUUCCGUGCCAGCCGCCGC
Molecule: ribosomal RNA, 515 nt
Filed under: uncultured bacterium
Lineage: Bacteria
Description: bacterial SSU rRNA
Rfam family: Bacterial small subunit ribosomal RNA
Source: RNAcentral